UACGAAGGGGGCGAGCGUUGUUCGGAAUUACUGGGCGUAAAGGGCGCGUAGGCGGCCUUCUAAGUCGAACGUGAAAUCCCCGGGCUCAACCCGGGAACUGCGUCCGAUACUGGAAGGCUUGAAUCCGGGAGAGGGAUGCGGAAUUCCAGGUGUAGCGGUGAAAUGCGUAGAUAUCUGGAGGAACACCGGUGGCGAAGGCGGCAUCCUGGACCGGUAUUGACGCUGAGGCGCGAAAGCCAGGGGAGCAAACGGG
Molecule: ribosomal RNA, 253 nt
Filed under: uncultured bacterium
Lineage: Bacteria
Description: partial 16S ribosomal RNA
Rfam family: Bacterial small subunit ribosomal RNA
Source: RNAcentral